UAGGGAAUCUUCCGCAAUGGACGCAAGUCUGACGGAGCAACGCCGCGUGAGUGAAGAAGGAUUUCGGUUCGUAAAACUCUGUUGUUAAGGAAGAACGAGUGUGAGAAUGGAAAGUUCAUGCUGUGACGGUACCUACAUAAGAAGCCCCGGCUAAAUACGUGCCAGCAGCCGCGGUAAUACGUAUGGGGCAAGCGUUAUCCGGAUUUACUGGGUGUAAAGGGAGCGUAGGCGGCAGUACAAGUCGGGAGUGAAAACUCGGGGCUCAACCCCGAGACUGCUCUCGAAACUGUACAGCUAGAGUGCAGGAAGGGCAGGCGGAAUUCCUGGUGUAGCGGUGAAAUGCGUAGAUAUCAGGAGGAACACCGGUGGCGAAGGCGGCCUGCUGGACUGUAACUGACGCUGAGGCUCGAAAGCGUGGGGAGCGAACAGG
This 430-nucleotide ribosomal RNA is filed under the name Bacteroidota bacterium. RNAcentral's name for it is "Bacteroidetes bacterium partial 16S ribosomal RNA". It matches the Rfam family "Bacterial small subunit ribosomal RNA", at positions 355 to 776 of the family's 1533-position model. Lineage: Bacteria; Pseudomonadati; Bacteroidota. The record is from RNAcentral.